Molecule: unclassified non-coding RNA, 330 nt
Filed under: Hevea brasiliensis (rubber tree)
Lineage: Eukaryota; Viridiplantae; Streptophyta; Magnoliopsida; Malpighiales; Euphorbiaceae
Source: RNAcentral
GAAGAAGAGAGAGUCCAAAUUCGGGCUUCUCUUAAAGCUCAGAGUUGCUUCAAUAAUUAUCCGAAAUGGAAAGAAAAGCUGAGAGAAAAUUGUUACACAAGGGUCAGAGAAGAUCGAAGCCGCCUUCUUUGGAAAUUAAGGUUCGCCAACAAUCAGCCACAUCAGGAUCUCGUCAAGUCAUCUCUAGAGGACAUAGUUUCUGACGAAAUACAGAAAUUUAAGCACUCAUAUCAGAGUGAGACUUUUGAUAAUUCUAAAUUCUUCCUCGCACUGGAUGAUUCUAUAUGGGAAUAUGAUGGCCUUCAUGAAACUUAUCAAGGUGAUUGUGAG